UACAGAGGUCUCAAGCGUUGUUCGGAUUCAUUGGGCGUAAAGGGUGCGUAGGCGGCGCGGUAAGUCGGGUGUGAAAUCUUGGAGCUUAACUCCGAGACUGCAUUCGAUACUGCCGUGCUUGAGGACUGGAGAGGAGACUGGAAUUUACGGUGUAGCGGUGAAAUGCGUAGAUAUCGUAAGGAAGACCAGUGGCGAAGGCGGGUCUCUGGGCCUUACCUGACGCUGAGGAGCGAAAGCGUGGGGAGCGAACAGG
Molecule: ribosomal RNA, 253 nt
Filed under: uncultured bacterium
Lineage: Bacteria
Description: partial 16S ribosomal RNA
Rfam family: Bacterial small subunit ribosomal RNA
Source: RNAcentral